RNAcentral lists this unclassified non-coding RNA (2749 nucleotides) under Lingula anatina. RNAcentral's name for it is "uncharacterized LOC106160229, transcript variant X4". Lineage: Eukaryota; Metazoa; Brachiopoda; Lingulata; Lingulida; Lingulidae. The record is from RNAcentral.
AAGACAAAUUACGGAAUUACAUCUGCAUUUAGACUCUGCAGUACGUCAGAAAUUGCCGUUCGGGGGAAAAAUACUUCAAUAAGUUGCGUAUGAUUACAUGAAGGGUAAUGGUCAACCCAGCAUAAUGGACAGUAAUGUUGUAAUGGACAGUCUACUGGCCACGGGAGAAGAUCUCUCUCUUGACCGGCCAAAUAUUGACCAACUGAGGCAGGACAGGAUGGACAGAAAUAGGGCUGUCAUGGAGGCACUUGAUCCACAGGCUGCAAAAACUACCAUACCACAGGUGGACAAACUAAGUGCAGCCGAGCAUGCCGCGGUCUGUAUUCAGUCCCACUACAGAGGACAUCUGGGCAGGAAGAAAUACACAGAACUACUGUAUCAGCAGUUUGAAAAGGAAGAAGCACUGAGGUAUGAAAAGAUGCAGAAGCAGUUAGAAGAAGGGGAGUUGUUGGUUGCAAAUCACAAGUUAGAGGUUGAACUGGAUGAUGAUAACACCAAGAGAAGGAACAAGUCAAGACACUUUGAGGCCAGUGCAAUUACGAUACAGCGAGCUUGGCGCCACCAUCACCAGGGUCACCUUGCAGAUACCGCCUCCUCCGAGCCAGAUGAAGCCAGUGAGACAGAGAGCGCAGGUGACCAACACCCCAUCACAUCAAGCACAGAGGACUCUCUGCUAGAACCAGAAGGUCAUCAAGGUCAAAUCUUAGGUCAAGGUCAAAUGUCAGGUCAAGGUCACAUGAAAGGUCAUAGGCCAAGUGAUCAUGUUUCCAAAAUCAAGAACUCUGCAGUGAGUAAGUUGGUCGGUGGAUCAGAGUGUGACUCUGUCGUGUCAGACUACUCAGAAAUGGCCGACCCUGUGCGUGAUCUCUUUGUGGAGAAUGAGGUGAAGAUUGUGAAAAGGGAAGAGCUCGCGGGAGGAAAGAAUUUGUGCACUGGCAGCUCUCUUGAGGAGAAGCCAGAGCGCAGUCCCGAGGAAACGCAGGAAGAGUUCGAGAAGCGUGUGCGUAAAGAGAAUUAUCUCAGUUUGGCCCAGGAAUUUGCUGCCCUGAAGAAGAUCAAUUCAGACGCAUUACCAUUUGACCUUCAUAAGGAGGUCAACAAAAGGGAGUAUAGUCCUAUGAGUGAGGGCAGCUCAGUAGCCUCUGCACCUGUCACUCCUAGUGACCCAGAUAUUGAGUUGCUGGGGGCAACCACCAAUCUGAAUAAACUAGAACAAAAUAUAGCCAAUCAGAACAAAGCUAACAACAACUCAUCAUAUCAGACCAAUGCUAAUGACAAAACAGCCAAUCAGAACACUAAAGAUAAAAUGUCAGCCAAUCAGGAUGUCGCUUCCUUUGUGAUGAUGCCAGAUGUCAUCCCUCAGCCAAAAGUAGCCUGGGGUGAAGGUCCUGCCAAUCAGGAAACCUCAGCACACUCUGGACUGUCACAACCGUCUCACCUAACACAAUCAAAUGUUAGCGCAGACACCUCCCAUGAGAGAUCUCACAAAUUAAUGGAGAAUGGACAUUCUGUGUCUAAGGACAAAGGUGCCAUGGUGAGCAGUGCCAGUGAGGAGUUGGGCGACUUUGACGUGAUUGAGAGCACGCUGCCAGAGUUGGAUUGGAACACCAUAGAGCAGAAGCUGCAGAGAGCAGCAGAGGAGGAGAAACAGAGACUGAAGGCGCGGCGUAAUGACCGCGAGGAGAUACGUCGCAAGCUGGCCAUGGGGACGGAUGAGGAGUAUUAUGGAGGAGAACGCACGUUCAGGAAACCUAAUCUUCAAACACGACUUCAAAGUGGGAUGAACUUACAGAUUUGUUUUGUGAAUAACUCUCUGCCAGAGUCGGGUAAUGUCCCUCCCGUCACAGCUGAGGGAAACCCCCAAGGAGAGGAGAAAAAUCAGGAGGCAGAAGCAGACACUGGAUUCUCCGAGUCCUCAGCGAUUGCCGAGACUACAGCCGAGACCCCUCUCCUGCAAGACAAGCCAGAACCAGAGCUCAAUAAAAAUAACGUCAGCAAGGCGGUAGAUGAUGAGGAUUUUUUUGCUAAACAGGUGCAGUUACAGGCUGAGGCCAGGCUGGCGCUAGCACAGGCCAAGCCAAUGGCGCAGAUGCAGCUAGAGAUUGAAAAACAACAAAAGAAAAAACAGUCUGUUGCAGAAAAAGUAAUUGGUCUGCCAGAUGGAAGGAAAAAACUGACUCUUCCAGUGCUGCAAGAAAUGAAUGUGGCCCAGUUACAGGUGCUGGUGAAUGAUAUGCACUCCCAGAUUGAAAGUUUAAAUGAAGAUCUGGUGAAGGCUUUAAUGAACAGGGAUGACUUUCAUAUGGAACAGGACUCUAUGUUGGUGGACAUUGAAGAUCUGACACGUUAACAGUUCACAAGAUUCCAUCAAGCUGUUUUCGACACUCCACAACUUUUCAGAGAGGCAAAUCCAUUUUGUCUUGAGACUUAAUUGCUGAGAAUGCAAUUUAUUAAUAGAUAUUAACUGAUGUAGUUCCCAUGAUUUAGGUGUUUAUAGCUCAGUUAACCUGAAGAUUAAUGUUUACUUUUCCAUUUGCAUAAAUGUAUUUCAGCUUAAUUUUGAUUACUGGAAUUGGAAUUCUACAGCAUUUCCAUGUUAAUUUUGUCAGCAUUUCCUUUGAUAUUUCUUAUUUUGGUGUCAAUUUUCAGUGGGAGGAUAUGGCCGCAAGCCAUGAGUGAAAAUGUCAUACGUGCUCAAGAAUGCGCCCAGCGCGUGAGCUCACGAAAUCAGCGUCGAAAAGAAAAGGGC